CCCUUAGAUGUCCGGGGCUGCACGCGUGCUACACUGAAGGAAUCAGCGUGCUAAAACCAUUGUCGAAAGGCAUUGGUAAACCCAUUAAAAUCCUACGUGAUUGGGAUCGGGAAUUGCAAUUAUUUCCCUUGAACGAGGAAUUCCCAGUAAGUGUGGGUCAUAAGCUCGCGUUGAUUACGUCCCUGCCCUUUGUACACACCGCCCGUCGCUGCCCGGGACUGAGCCGUUUCGAGAAAAGCGGGGACUGCUGCUGUCGGGGCUUUCGGGCCUUGGCUUCGGUGGAAACCGCUUUAAUCGCAGUGGCUUGAACCGGGCAAAANUCGUANCA
This 328-nucleotide ribosomal RNA is filed under the name uncultured eukaryote. RNAcentral's name for it is "partial 18S ribosomal RNA". It matches the Rfam family "Eukaryotic small subunit ribosomal RNA", at positions 1470 to 1796 of the family's 1831-position model. The record is from RNAcentral.